UACGAAGGGGGCUAGCGUUGUUCGGAAUUACUGGGCGUAAAGCGCGCGCAGGCGGUCUUCCAAGUCAGUGGUGAAAGCCCGGAGCUCAACUCCGGAAUUGCCAUUGAAACUGUGAGACUGGAGUACGAGAGAGGUGAGUGGAAUUCCCAGUGUAGAGGUGAAAUUCGUAGAUAUUGGGAAGAACACCGGUGGCGAAGGCGGCGACCUGGUCCUUGACUGACGCUGAGGCGCGAAAGCGUGGGGAGCAAACAGG
This 253-nucleotide ribosomal RNA is filed under the name uncultured bacterium. RNAcentral describes it as "partial 16S ribosomal RNA". It matches the Rfam family "Bacterial small subunit ribosomal RNA", at positions 524 to 776 of the family's 1533-position model. The record is from RNAcentral.